RNAcentral lists this ribosomal RNA (2161 nucleotides) under Escherichia coli HVH 6 (3-8296502). RNAcentral describes it as "bacterial LSU rRNA". It matches the Rfam family "Bacterial large subunit ribosomal RNA", at positions 1 to 2188 of the family's 2925-position model. The record is from RNAcentral. Lineage: Bacteria; Pseudomonadati; Pseudomonadota; Gammaproteobacteria; Enterobacterales; Enterobacteriaceae.
UUAAGCGACUAAGCGUACACGGUGGAUGCCCUGGCAGUCAGAGGCGAUGAAGGACGUGCUAAUCUGCGAUAAGCGUCGGUAAGGUGAUAUGAACCGUUAUAACCGGCGAUUUCCGAAUGGGGAAACCCAGUGUGUUUCGACACACUAUCAUUAACUGAAUCCAUAGGUUAAUGAGGCGAACCGGGGGAACUGAAACAUCUAAGUACCCCGAGGAAAAGAAAUCAACCGAGAUUCCCCCAGUAGCGGCGAGCGAACGGGGAGGAGCCCAGAGCCUGAAUCAGUGUGUGUGUUAGUGGAAGUGUCUGGAAAGGCGCGCGAUACAGGGUGACAGCCCCGUACACAAAAAUGCACAUACUGUGAGCUCGAUGAGUAGGGCGGGACACGUGGUAUCCUGUCUGAAUAUGGGGGGACCAUCCUCCAAGGCUAAAUACUCCUGACUGACCGAUAGUGAACCAGUACCGUGAGGGAAAGGCGAAAAGAACCCCGGCGAGGGGAGUGAAAAAGAACCUGAAACCGUGUACGUACAAGCAGUGGGAGCACGCUUCGGCGUGUGACUGCGUACCUUUUGUAUAAUGGGUCAGCGACUUAUAUUCUGUAGCAAGGUUAACCGAAUAGGGGAGCCGAAGGGAAACCGAGUCUUAACUGGGCGUUAAGUUGCAGGGUAUAGACCCGAAACCCGGUGAUCUAGCCAUGGGCAGGUUGAAGGUUGGGUAACACUAACUGGAGGACCGAACCGACUAAUGUUGAAAAAUUAGCGGAUGACUUGUGGCUGGGGGUGAAAGGCCAAUCAAACCGGGAGAUAGCUGGUUCUCCCCGAAAGCUAUUUAGGUAGCGCCUCGUGAAUUCAUCUCCGGGGGUAGAGCACUGUUUCGGCAAGGGGGUCAUCCCGACUUACCAACCCGAUGCAAACUGCGAAUACCGGAGAAUGUUAUCACGGGAGACACACGGCGGGUGCUAACGUCCGUCGUGAAGAGGGAAACAACCCAGACCGCCAGCUAAGGUCCCAAAGUCAUGGUUAAGUGGGAAACGAUGUGGGAAGGCCCAGACAGCCAGGAUGUUGGCUUAGAAGCAGCCAUCAUUUAAAGAAAGCGUAAUAGCUCACUGGUCGAGUCGGCCUGCGCGGAAGAUGUAACGGGGCUAAACCAUGCACCGAAGCUGCGGCAGCGACACUAUGUGUUGUUGGGUAGGGGAGCGUUCUGUAAGCCUGUGAAGGUGUACUGUGAGGUAUGCUGGAGGUAUCAGAAGUGCGAAUGCUGACAUAAGUAACGAUAAAGCGGGUGAAAAGCCCGCUCGCCGGAAGACCAAGGGUUCCUGUCCAACGUUAAUCGGGGCAGGGUGAGUCGACCCCUAAGGCGAGGCCGAAAGGCGUAGUCGAUGGGAAACAGGUUAAUAUUCCUGUACUUGGUGUUACUGCGAAGGGGGGACGGAGAAGGCUAUGUUGGCCGGGCGACGGUUGUCCCGGUUUAAGCGUGUAGGCUGGUUUUCCAGGCAAAUCCGGAAAAUCAAGGCUGAGGCGUGAUGACGAGGCACUACGGUGCUGAAGCAACAAAUGCCCUGCUUCCAGGAAAAGCCUCUAAGCAUCAGGUAACAUCAAAUCGUACCCCAAACCGACACAGGUGGUCAGGUAGAGAAUACCAAGGCGCUUGAGAGAACUCGGGUGAAGGAACUAGGCAAAAUGGUGCCGUAACUUCGGGAGAAGGCACGCUGAUAUGUAGGUGAAGCGACUUGCUCGUGGAGCUGAAAUCAGUCGAAGAUACCAGCUGGCUGCAACUGUUUAUUAAAAACACAGCACUGUGCAAACACGAAAGUGGACGUAUACGGUGUGACGCCUGCCCGGUGCCGGAAGGUUAAUUGAUGGGGUUAGCGGUAACGCGAAGCUCUUGAUCGAAGCCCCGGUAAACGGCGGCCGUAACUAUAACGGUCCUAAGGUAGCGAAAUUCCUUGUCGGGUAAGUUCCGACCUGCACGAAUGGCGUAAUGAUGGCCAGGCUGUCUCCACCCGAGACUCAGUGAAAUUGAACUCGCUGUGAAGAUGCAGUGUACCCGCGGCAAGACGGAAAGACCCCGUGAACCUUUACUAUAGCUUGACACUGAACAUUGAGCCUUGAUGUGUAGGAUAGGUGGGAGGCUUUGAAGUGUGGACGCCAGUCUGCAUGGAGCCG